GACGAACGCUGGCGGCGUGCUUAACACAUGCAAGUCGAGCGGUAAGGCCCUUCGGGGUACACGAGCGGCGAACGGGUGAGUAACAUGUGGGUGACCUGCCCUCCACUUCGGGAUAAGCCUGGGAAACUGGGUCUAAUACCGGAUAUGACUUCUGGGUGCAUGCCUGGUUGUGGUAAAGUUUUUUCGGUGGGGGAUGGGCCCGCGGUCUAUCAGCUUGUUGGUGGGGUGAUGGCCUACCAAGGCGACGACGGAUAGCCGGCCUGAGAGGGUGAUCGGCCACACUGGGACUGAGACACGGCCCAGACUCCUACGGGAGGCAGCAGUGGGGAAUCUUGCGCAAUGGGCGGAAGCCUGACGCAGCAACGCCGCGUGAGGGAUGACGGCCUCGGUU
This 391-nucleotide ribosomal RNA is filed under the name uncultured bacterium. Its description in RNAcentral is "bacterial SSU rRNA". It matches the Rfam family "Bacterial small subunit ribosomal RNA", at positions 28 to 424 of the family's 1533-position model. The record is from RNAcentral.